This 1038-nucleotide long non-coding RNA is filed under the name Zostera marina. RNAcentral's name for it is "long non-coding RNA (ZMAR_LNC003703)". Lineage: Eukaryota; Viridiplantae; Streptophyta; Magnoliopsida; Alismatales; Zosteraceae. The record is from RNAcentral.
CAAUUUUGAAAGAAGAAGAAAAAAAACUAGCAAUUUUGAGCUCAGGAGGGAUAGACGGGGAAGAUGAAGAUGGGAGGAUUGAUAAGAGUGAAGGUAACCUUGUCAUUUUCGAACGGCGUAGAGAACGGCCAAGGAGAAAAAUCUGGCUUAUAAAAGCCUUGCAAGGUCAAGAAAAAGAUAUAGAGAGAGGAACAAAAGAAAUGAAAAAAGAAGAGGAAAGGUAGAGGAGGGGAGAGCUCAGCAAGGAUAGCACCAGCAUUACAGACGACGAUGAAAAUGAAGUUGGUACGCGUGUUGUUCCCAUCUAGAUCCCAUAACGCUCUUCUUGUAACCCUCGUACCUGAGAAUCAAAGCAGCACACAAAGGUGGCAGAGGAGACAUGAUGGAAGGAGGGAGGAGGGAUGGAUUAUAUAUCUCGGAAUAGGAAAAGAAGAGCUUUUUAUAGAGAAUGAGUGAGGAAGAAAGGGAAGUAAUAAAUAGGGUAGAUCGAGGAGAAGGUAGAAAUUAAUCUCCAAAACCCAACUGGUUGGUUUCUUGGUUGCUUGAGUUGGGUUGUCUGACAUUCCAAAUGUGUGUUUCUCUCCCUGCAACAGGAAAAAGGCCACUGAUCAUCAAACCAUGCACAUGUAACACAACAGCAUGCAGAAGCACAGACCAAAAGGAAAAACAAACAAAACAAAUAAACUUUUUUUUUAUUAUCUGAUGCGGUUCAGUGUGACUGUGCUCAGCCCGAGGGGGACUCAGACUCACACAACUCGGCAAGCUGGCUGGCUGGCUGGCUGGCUGGCUGCUGGGUUGAUCGUCGAUCGGCUGGUUGUGUUGAAUUAAUGCAUGUAUAUAGAUCGAUAAAGCCCUAUGUAGAUUGACAGAUAGAUCUGAUCUGAAUAUCAGAUAAUUAACAUUUAACCAGCUUCUGCCUGCUUGGUAGUAGGUAUCUGAGGCUGGUUUCUGCAAAACCUGCAGCAAGAGCCUAAACCAGAACUGGGAAUUGAAGAUGGGGAAGGUGGAUAGAUCAAUUAUACUAUAAUAGAAUUCAGA